UCUUGGUGGCAAGGCGAUGGGGGUACACCCGUUCCCAUCCCGAACACGGAAGUUAAGCCCAUUAGCGUCGAUGGUACUUGGGCCUGAGCCCUGGAAGAGUAGACCGUCGCCAAGAC
Molecule: ribosomal RNA, 116 nt
Filed under: Candidatus Falkowbacteria bacterium HGW-Falkowbacteria-1
Lineage: Bacteria; Candidatus Falkowiibacteriota
Source: RNAcentral